This 76-nucleotide transfer RNA is filed under the name Escherichia coli. Its description in RNAcentral is "tRNA-Asn". It matches the Rfam family "tRNA". Rfam says of the family: Transfer RNA (tRNA) molecules are approximately 80 nucleotides in length. Their secondary structure includes four short double-helical elements and three loops (D, anti-codon, and T loops). Lineage: Bacteria; Pseudomonadati; Pseudomonadota; Gammaproteobacteria; Enterobacterales; Enterobacteriaceae. RNAcentral also lists the same sequence under 6 other names. The record is from RNAcentral.
UCCUCUGUAGUUCAGUCGAUAGAACGGCGGACUGUUAAUCCGUAUGUCACUGGUUCGAGUCCAGUCAGAGGAGCCA